GAUGAACGCUAGCGGCGUGCCUAAUACAUGCAAGUCGAGCGAAUGGAUUAAGAGCUUGCUCUUAUGAAGUUAGCGGCGGACGGGUGAGUAACACGUGGGUAACCUGCCCAUAAGACUGGGAUAACUCCGGGAAACCGGGGCUAAUGCCGGAUAACAUUUUGAACCGCAUGGUUCGAAAUUGAAAGGCGGCUUCGGCUGUCACUUAUGGAUGGACCCGCGUCGCAUUAGCUAGUUGGUGAGGUAACGGCUCACCAAGGCAACGAUGCGUAGCCGACCUGAGAGGGUGAUCGGCCACACUGGGACUGAGACACGGCCCAGACUCCUACGGGAGGCAGCAGUAGGGAAUCUUCCGCAAUGGACGAAAGUCUGGCGGAGCAACGCCGCGUGAGUGAUGAAGGCUUUCGGGUCGUAAAACUCUGUUGUUAGGGAAGAACAAGUGCUAGUUGAAUAAGCUGGCACCUUGACGGUACCUAACCAGAAAGCCACGGCUAACUACGUGCCAGCCGCCGCAGUAA
This 515-nucleotide ribosomal RNA is filed under the name uncultured bacterium. RNAcentral describes it as "partial 16S ribosomal RNA". It matches the Rfam family "Bacterial small subunit ribosomal RNA", at positions 28 to 523 of the family's 1533-position model. The record is from RNAcentral.